UGGUUAUAAUAGCAGAGAGGAUACACCUGUUCCCAUUCCGAACACAGAAGUUAAGCUCUCUAGCGCUGAUGGUACUUGGUGGGAAACUGCCUGG
Molecule: ribosomal RNA, 94 nt
Filed under: Clostridioides difficile
Lineage: Bacteria; Bacillati; Bacillota; Clostridia; Peptostreptococcales; Peptostreptococcaceae
Source: RNAcentral